GGUCGCACUGCGGAAGAUCCACCGCCGAAAGUCGAGUGUUUCUACCUAUGUGCGCCAUAGGAAAAAAUAAAAAAAAUACCUACGUGCGACAUUGAACAACUUUCAUCGGAAUGAAUGGUGCUCCGCCUCAAAGGCUGUAUUCUCUAAUUAUAGGUCGAUGGUUCUGAAGCCAAAAAAGUUCAAGUCUCCCGCCGACUGAGCCUGCUACUCACGGUUUAGCUCUCGAACAAUUAGAAUAAAAGAUAAAAUAAGACUUUCACUCUUCAAAUGGAAGACAUGUUAAGAUUCCGACAGUGAAUCGAGUCAUGUCUCAGAACUUGUGACGGCUCUAAAACUCUUAUCCACGGUUUAACAGACGUUUAUUUCACAAUGUUAGCUUGUGUGAAAUGUAUUUUUGGGACCGCAGUGCAUCAUGGGACGGUGUAAUUACACGGUGUGGCCGCUAUGAAAACUGGCUCCAGGGCAUGGCGCUGUUCCCGGGAGCUUUUGGGAGUGGCGUCGCUCAGGUGUUUGUCCUCUGCAGGAUGCUGUAGUUUAGAGGUGUUUCCGCGCCGGACGCCAUGUUGUUCAAACGUUCCGGUGCCCUGCAUAGUAAACAACAUCAACAGCGACCUGCUUCAAGAAUCGGCGCUAAAACCACAUUCAGGUUACUGUCCAAUGUCCCACAAGGCGAUGAAGCUGCACUACCAGCGAUGAGGACUGUUAAAGUGCAGCCGAGGUCUCGAUCCUGAUCCUGGUGUCUGGUUCCUCCCACAGUCCAGGGAGCUGUAGAGACGGUACAGCAGGCGACGUUCGCUCAGAGGCAGCAGGUCACAGGACUCAACGUAAGUGAAGUUUUAUUUAUAUAGCAGCAUUGAAAACAGAAAGUGCUGCAGAGGAUACACAUACAGAAAACAACAUGCAUAUACAGAGUAAUAUAAAUGACAGCUCUGUUACAAGAAAAGGAAAGGAAAGAGGUUUGAUGUGACAGGCCUGGAAUUAAGACUGACCACUGACUGUCGGUGAAAAUCAGACAACCAAAUCAUACUUUAGCACUCCCC
RNAcentral lists this long non-coding RNA (1040 nucleotides) under Sparus aurata (gilthead seabream). Its description in RNAcentral is "lncRNA (ENSSAUG00010014066.1)". Lineage: Eukaryota; Metazoa; Chordata; Actinopteri; Spariformes; Sparidae. The record is from RNAcentral.